Molecule: ribosomal RNA, 460 nt
Filed under: uncultured bacterium
Lineage: Bacteria
Description: partial 16S ribosomal RNA
Rfam family: Bacterial small subunit ribosomal RNA
Source: RNAcentral
CCUACGGGCGGCAGCAGUGAGGAAUAUUGGUCAAUGGACGAGAGUCUGAACCAGCCAAGUAGCGUGAAGGAUGACUGCCCUAUGGGUUGUAAACUUCUUUUAUAUGGGAAUAAAAUGUUCCACGUGUGGGAUUUUGUAUGUACCAUAUGAAUAAGGAUCGGCUAACUCCGUGCCAGCAGCCGCGGUAAUACGGAGGAUCCGAGCGUUAUCCGGUGUUAUUGGGUUUAAAGGGAGCGUAGGUGGAUUGUUAAGUCAGUUGUGAAAGUUUGCGGCUCAACCGUAAAAUUGCAGUUGAAACUGGCAGUCUUGAGUACAGUAGAGGUGGGCGGAAUGCGUGGUGUAGCGGUGAAAUGCUUAGAUAGCACGAAGAACUCCGAUUGCGAAGGCAGUUCACUGGACUGCAACUGACACUGAGGCUCGAAAGUGUGGGUAUCAAACAGGAUUAGAUACCCGUGUAGUC